CCUGCAAAUAAAAAAAGUAUUAAUCGCAUUGUGAAUACUGUAUCUACUUGCAUAUAUAUUUCCAUGUAAGCAUAUGAAUGAAUCAACCCAAGUAAAAGAAGGAGACGCAAAAAACUGACCAAAGACAAGAUCUAAAGGAAGUGGGACUUGUAAGACAAGGAAAACUCUUAUCCAAGUUUAAAGCGACGAAGAAAAAAAAAACUGGGUGAAGCAGUCGUCGUGACCACAAAAUAAAGCCAGGCUGCAAAUUGCUAUGUGGCCCUGCUGAUGUGACCCACAUAUAUAAAACAAUCGACAUACAGAGAAUGGUCAAUGGGGCUGAGCUCGGAUAUCAAGGCAAUUCAUGGCGGCACGGAAAAGAUGUACAACCGGAGUCAACUUUUUGCCGUUAAAGGAAACUUUUCCGUGAAAAAGCGAUUGGAACAUACCGUCUCUGUGUUGUGUGCUCUUUUCUCUUGCUAAAACCUUUUGCUUUUGGUUUAAUUUACUAGUUAUAUGGUUCCAAGUCGUUUGAUUACCUUGAGGUGAACGAUUCCAACAGCUUUCUGAUGUUUGUGAUGCCUGCUACUACCGCUUCUAUCGAGACGUUUAAGUCUUCCGGAGGACACGUCGCCGAUGAACCUAACGUCUUCUCCGGCAGCGAGGGUUUCCGGUUGGAGGAUCUUCGAGUAGGAAAUUACGCCGUUGCGUAACAAAAACCAUCUCGAUCUCCAUCCUUUGCCGUAAUUUGUCCAUUUGUAUAAGACUCCGGCGAAGCUUGUGCUGCCAGAACAGGAUUCAGAUCCAGACCUCCUCAAUCCGACGGCAUUGCCGUCGGAUCUCAUGUCCGCCACCGAACACGACCUUGACAACUUCACCCUCGGUUCCGGCGACUGGUCCCCGAUCGAUGGACUCUCUAGCGAUAUACAACACAACGGAUGCAUCUCCUUUACUCUCAUUUCGUCAAUCAAAUUCAAUUCCUCAACUCAAUAAAAAAAAAACCCUGAUCAAACCACCAUCUGCAUAAACAGUCGCAAA
Lactuca sativa (garden lettuce) is the source of this 1017-nucleotide non-coding RNA. The record is from RefSeq and is a predicted model, not a curated record. NCBI's taxonomy places the organism in Eukaryota, Viridiplantae, Streptophyta, Magnoliopsida, Asterales, Asteraceae.